CCCUUAGAUGUUCUGGGCCGCACGCGCGCUACACUGAUGCAUUCAACGAGCCUAUCCUUGACCGACAGGUCCGGGUAAUCUUUGAAUCUGCAUCGUGACGGGGAUAGAUUAUUGCAAUUAUUAAUCUUCAACGAGGAAUGCCUAGGAGGCGCAAGUCAUCAGCUUGCGUCGAUUACGUCCCUGCCCUUUGUACACACCGCCCGUCGCUCCUACCGAUUGGGUGUGCUGGUGAAAUGUUCGGAUCGGCCGUUUGUCGCGGUUUCCGCGUCAUGUGGCUGAGAAGUUCAUUAAACCCUCCCACCUAGAGGAAGGAGAAGUCGUAACA
This 325-nucleotide ribosomal RNA is filed under the name uncultured eukaryote. Its description in RNAcentral is "partial 18S ribosomal RNA". It matches the Rfam family "Eukaryotic small subunit ribosomal RNA", at positions 1470 to 1796 of the family's 1831-position model. The record is from RNAcentral.